This 2639-nucleotide long non-coding RNA is filed under the name Homo sapiens (human). Its description in RNAcentral is "HSALNT0058387". Lineage: Eukaryota; Metazoa; Chordata; Mammalia; Primates; Hominidae. The record is from RNAcentral.
AUUGCCUUUUGGUAAAGGCCUCAUUCCUAAACACCCACAAGAAUCUUUUAUCUCAUGGUUAUCAAAGGAGGUUGGGAUCUGGCAGUAUUAUCUCUCUCUGUCUCUUUUUUAUUUUCAGACAGGGUCUCACUCUGUUGCCCAGGCUGGAGUGCAGUGGCACAAUCACAGCUCACUGCAGCCUCCACCUCCUGGGCCCAAGCUAUUCUCCUUCCUCAGCCUCCCAAGUAGUUGGAACAGCUACCUGUGUGACCUUGGGCAAGUCACUUGGCAUCUCUGUACCCCCAUUUAUACAAAGUUUCCUCAUCUGUACCACGAACUUAGAUACGCAAAGGGCCUGCUCCACAGGCAUGAGCAACAACACAGACAGUUUCCUGCCUUUCCCCCAAGUACUCUCUCUCCCUCUUUCCCAGGAGAUGGACCUAAACAGCUCUGAGCAGCCAACGGAGGGAAGAAGAGAUUCCUAGAAGGCAAGAAACAAAAUGGCCAGGUAACCCAUCUGAAUAGUAUCCGGGCAUUAGCACAGGCUACCAGCCAAUCAGAAGCAAGGAAGUGAAGAGGAAAGGAGGACUGAGGGAUUGUUUUGGCUGCUGGUCACUCAGAGACUAAGAGAGAGAGCCUUCAGACUCCCUCAUUCCCUUGUGGGAUUUAUGAGGAAACUAAGACCCAUAAAUAUCAAAAAUGUGACCCAAGGCCUUGGAUAUAGUGAUUGUCAGAGUUGCCCUCAACCUGGGACCUCUGGGAUCAAGAGAAGUGAGCCUUGGACUAACUACAUGUUCACUCUCGCAUCGGAAAUUGGGUGUAAUUUGGCUUAAAUAUGGGGCUUGGGGAUUGUUAUCAAUUUGUUAUGGCACAAAUUGUCCUUUUUCAAUUUGCCUUUUCUCUUCCCUUCUUCCCUCCAAAAUAUCCCCCUAUUCUUUCUCCCUCUGCACUUCCAAUUCAGAGGAACUCAGGUUUUUACUUCCUUAGGAGGACGUGCUAGCAUCACCGGUGUUGUGGGCCUUGAGCCGAGGGCCUCAGGACUGUGAUGAGGCUCAGGGCCACAGUAAGAGCAGGGUUUCCUGAACACAACACUGCACUUAACCACACCUGGGUGAAAAUUUCAUUUUCUUCACACAAAGACUGGGCUCUAAAGUGUCCAGUGUUCUAUGAGUCUCGAUAAGGUGAAAUAAUUCUGUUAUUGUUGACUCAUAGAUUUUCUGCUUGCAUGUAUACCUAAAGACUUUUUGCAAUUCUUGCCAGGGUAUAUAUUUUUUAAGAUACAAAACUGUCUUACACCCCACAGCAAGCUUUAAUCCUGUGAGGACAAUCUGUUUCUCCUGGCAACACUAAGGCUACUAGAUGAACAGGGGUCAGCCGGGUAGUUUGAAGAGAAGCCUUGGUAAUCUGUUAGACAAAGCUGAGAAUUCUCUAAAGAAUGUCUAGCAAAGAUACUUCAGUUUGAAGUGAAUAGAAAGGGUUUUGUUCACAGGCCCUGCCUUGCUGCUGGAUUCAAAGAAUGUGCAGCACCAGAAAAGGACAUCAAUGUCCUUCUUGAAAAUGAAACACACACGCGCACACACACACACACACACACACGUGUCUUCUUUUCUGCCUGCAUUGAGCAUUGCAUAACUGUGGAAAAGUUCAUCACGCCUGAAAAUAUGUAUCUUUCCUUUGAUCCAAAGCAAGUGCUAUAUUGGAAUAAAGAUGCCAUAUCUUCCGCCUUUAGUAAAAUGAAUUGUCAAGGAUUUUGCUUCAGAAAGAUCAAGAAAAGACCAAACGAUUCUGCAGGGUGAGGCCUCAGAGUUCAGGCUGUUGAUUAGGAGUUAGGGGCCCUGUAAGUCUUAUUGGUUCUCAGCUUUCUCACUAGCUCAUGUUUGUGACCUUAGGCAAGGCACUUAAGCUCUUUGUACCUUCAUUCCUCCAUUUGAAAAUUAGAGAUAAUACUUGCCGCCUACUUAAACUCAAAGGGAUAUGUGAGGAUUAGCCAAUUAAAGUUUGCCAAAUGCUUGGGAAUCAAUGGAGGGAAAAAUCUGUAUGAAUAUAAGGUAUCAUUGUCAGUCCCGCCUGACUCCCUCUUCACUCUCUUACCCCUCCUGUUUCCACCCUCUCUUUUAAAGGAUUGCCUUCCUGGGAAACUCAUGAGCAUUAUGCAUGGUUUUACUUAUGGUUGCUAUUGUGGAAAGUGGCCAUCUCCUAUUAUUAAGUGAUUUGUUUGAAGUUGGUCCUUUCUAUACCAUCACGGGGGAGGUUUCCAAAUCAAAGCAUCCUAGACUGAUUGUCAGUGAGGCACAGCUGGCAAGGUUUCUUUUGGGUUUACCUUUAGCAUCCUGUAGAGAGGAGAAAACAACCAUUUUAAUGUAAAAUAGUAAGCAUAAUUUGGAAAUAUUUGCCCAUUAGGAAUACAAAGCUAGUGAGGUACAAAAAUAAAGUCAAUUUAGAGCCCUUGUUACAAUCCUUGAAGAAAUUCCCCUUUUAACCAAAACAAUAAUAGUGCUUCCUAUUUCAUAAACGUUGCUCCUCUGGCUGUUACAGCCACGUGAAAAAUGAGUGUAACAUAACUAUGGCAUAUUAUCUGUUUGUUUCACAAUUGGAAAAUUGAGAUGCAGAGAGAUUAAGUGACUUGCUCACCACAACUUAGCUAACGAACGGAACGGCAA